GAUUUGAGCAGCUCACGCAGAGAGCUCAGUGCAGGAGCAAAGGUCAUUCUCCCAGCAUAGUCUCCUUGUGGUGCCAGAAAUACAGGCAAGAGAUCGUGCUUCUCUGCCAUUCCCUGCUGAAACCGUCAGUGCCCAGGCUCUGCACAGGUCGUCAGAGACAUCUUGCAUGUAUGAGACCAUCAACACCAGCAAUCAGUUGUGUAUUACAUAUUUUCAUCCACAGGUAACCUUAAAAUUUCCUUCCAUG
RNAcentral lists this long non-coding RNA (247 nucleotides) under Gallus gallus (chicken). The record is from RNAcentral. Lineage: Eukaryota; Metazoa; Chordata; Aves; Galliformes; Phasianidae.